AUUGAACGCUGGCGGCAGGCCUAACACAUGCAAGUCGAACGGUAGCACAGAGGAGCUUGCUCCUUGGGUGACGAGUGGCGGACGGGUGAGUAAUGUCUGGGAAACUGCCCGAUGGAGGGGGAUAACUACUGGAAACGGUAGCUAAUACCGCAUAACGUCUUCGGACCAAAGUGGGGGACCUUCGGGCCUCACACCAUCGGAUGUGCCCAGAUGGGAUUAGCUAGUAGGUGGGGUAAUGGCUCACCUAGGCGACGAUCCCCAGCUGGUCUGAGAGGAGGACCAGCCACACUGGAACUGAGACACGGUCCAGACUCCUACGGGAGGCAGCAGUGGGGAAUAUUGCACAAUGGGCGCAAGCCUGAUGCAGCCAUGCCGCGUGUAUGAAGAAGGCCUUCGGGUUGUAAAGUACUUUCAGCGGGGAGGAAGGCGUUAAGGUUAAUAACCUUGGCGAUUGACGUUACCCGCAGAAGAAGCACCGGCUAACUCCGUGCCAGCCGCCGCCGUAA
Molecule: ribosomal RNA, 506 nt
Filed under: uncultured bacterium
Lineage: Bacteria
Description: partial 16S ribosomal RNA
Rfam family: Bacterial small subunit ribosomal RNA
Source: RNAcentral